CCUACGGGAGGCAGCAGUGGGGAAUAUUGGACAAUGGGCGAAAGCCUGAUCCAGCAAUGCCGCGUGAGUGAUGAAGGCCUUAGGGUUGUAAAGCUCUUUUACCAGGGAUGAUAAUGACAGUACCUGGAGAAUAAGCUCCGGCUAACUCCGUGCCAGCAGCCGCGGUAAUACGGAGGGAGCUAGCGUUGUUCGGAAUUACUGGGCGUAAAGCGUGCGUAGGCGGUGAUUCAAGUCAGAGGUGAAAGCCUGGAGCUCAACUCCAGAACGGCCUUUGAAACUAGAUCGCUAGAAUUAUGGAGAGGUAAGUGGAAUUCCGAGUGUAGAGGUGAAAUUCGUAGAUAUUCGGAAGAACACCAGUGGCGAAGGCGACUUACUGGACAUAUAUUGACGCUGAGGUACGAAAGCGUGGGGAGCAAACAGGAUUAGAUACCCUGGUAGUCCACGCCGUAAACGAUGAUAACUAGCUGUUCGGGCUCUCAGAGCUUGNGUGGCGCAGCUACGCAUUAAGUUAGUCCGCCGUCGGGUAGGUACGGUCGGCGAGUAAGUUAAACGUACUUAAUUAGUAAGUUAGUUACGGNGNGAGNGNGCCGACGGACGACGACGAGGGAGAGG
Molecule: ribosomal RNA, 612 nt
Filed under: uncultured bacterium
Lineage: Bacteria
Description: bacterial SSU rRNA
Rfam family: Bacterial small subunit ribosomal RNA (bases 1-518)
Source: RNAcentral